This 339-nucleotide ribosomal RNA is filed under the name uncultured Anaerolineaceae bacterium. Its description in RNAcentral is "bacterial SSU rRNA". It matches the Rfam family "Bacterial small subunit ribosomal RNA", at positions 1029 to 1382 of the family's 1533-position model. The record is from RNAcentral. Lineage: Bacteria; Bacillati; Chloroflexota; Anaerolineae; Anaerolineales; Anaerolineaceae.
CCAUUACAGGUGUUGCAUGGCUGUCGUCAGCUCGUGUCGUGAGAUGUUCGGUUAAGUCCGCUAACGAGCGCAACCCUCGCUGUGUGUUAUAUGUGUCACACAGGACUGCUGGUAUUAAGCCGGAGGAAGGUGGGGACGACGUCAAGUCAGCAUGACCUUUAUAUCCAGGGCUACACACACGCUACAAUGGCCGGUACAGACGGACGCAAAGCCGCGAGGUGGAGCAAAUCCUAAAAAGCCGGUCUCAGUUCGGAUUGCAGGCUGCAAUUCGCCUGCAUGAAGUCGGAAUCGCUAGUAAUCGCAGGUCAGCAUACUGCGGUGAAUACGUUCCCGGGCCUU